UAAGAGAACCCAGGAAGAAAGAAGAGAAGGAAGAAAGAGGGGGAGUGAGAUGAGAGAAAAAGAAAACUGAGAGAAAAAUCAGUGAGUCACAGAUAUUGUAAACAUUGAAGUUGUAGCACUAUUAUUUUAGAUAGUGGAAAAGUUAAUGCUACUGCUCUUCGAGGAUGUAGGCAUGGCCAAACCUCGUUAAAUAUUGUGUCUUAUUUACUUUAUAUGCAACUCAAUAUUCUCGCAUAUUCCAGUUCAUUUUACAACAUGUUAUCAGCACGAGAAGCUCUCAGCAUAAAGAGAUCAGGACCUGAAGUUCCUUGAUCCUCAUCAUACAACUACAUCAGGACCUGAAAAUCCCUGAUGAUGAUAAUGAUAUGAGAGCUGGCAAUCUCUCCGGUACUAUAUUUGUAAACAAGAAAUCAGACUUGAAGAUUCUUGAUCCUUAACAUGUAAAUAAGGACCCGGAGUUCCUUAAUAAUGUAACAAUACUGUAUUGGUUAAUAGUGUUGUACACAUGAAUAGGUAACUGUAUUGACAAAUGUACUGUAUGCAUAAAUAGACAUGUAUUCAUGACCUGAUGAAUAGUACCGUAUACAUAAAUAUUAACCAUUUUCA
Prunus persica (peach) is the source of this 606-nucleotide long non-coding RNA. RefSeq lists it as uncharacterized. NCBI's taxonomy places the organism in Eukaryota, Viridiplantae, Streptophyta, Magnoliopsida, Rosales, Rosaceae. The transcript has 2 exons. The record is from RefSeq and is a predicted model, not a curated record.